CUACGGGCUGCUCCAGUCAAGAAUAUUCCUCAAUGCGCGAAAGCGUGAAGGAGCGACGCCGCGUGCCUGAAGAAGUCCUUAGGGAUGUAAAAGGCUUUUAUAAAGGAAGAAACCAUGACGGUACUUUAUGAAUAAGGGGCUGCUAAUCACGUGCCAGCAGCAGCGGUAAUACGUGAGCCCCAAGCGUUACCCGGAAUUAUUGGGCGUAAAGCGUAUGUAGGCGUUUUAUUAAGUUUUUCGUCAAAUCCUGAAGCUCAACUUCAGGACUGCGAAAAAUACUGGUAGAAUUGAGAUCGGGAGAGGCAAGCGGAACUGCAGGUGUAGGGGUUGUAUCCAUUAAUAUCUGCAGGAACACCAAAUGCGAAGGCAGCUUGCUAGAACGAAUCUGACGCUGAGAUACGAAAGCGUGGGGAGCGAAUGGGAUUAGAUACCCGAGUAGUC
RNAcentral lists this ribosomal RNA (441 nucleotides) under uncultured bacterium. RNAcentral's name for it is "partial 16S ribosomal RNA". It matches the Rfam family "Bacterial small subunit ribosomal RNA", at positions 339 to 795 of the family's 1533-position model. The record is from RNAcentral.